UAAGUCCUUCUUUAUACCUCAUUUUCCACACCAAGUCUUGGGCCCAACUUGCACACUCACAAGUCUAUAUCCGUAAUUAUUCUCGUAUCAUCCUCUCCAUCUAGAGACGAAUUUUCCCACAAAUUCACAGCUUCACCUCGUUCAAUUGGCCACUUCAAAGAGUCCACUAAAAAAUAGUCUGCAAAAAUAUAAAGAGCCCAAGAGAUCAAU
RNAcentral lists this long non-coding RNA (210 nucleotides) under Capsicum annuum. Its description in RNAcentral is "long non-coding RNA (CANN_LNC007435)". Lineage: Eukaryota; Viridiplantae; Streptophyta; Magnoliopsida; Solanales; Solanaceae. The record is from RNAcentral.